RNAcentral lists this ribosomal RNA (653 nucleotides) under uncultured bacterium. RNAcentral's name for it is "bacterial SSU rRNA". It matches the Rfam family "Bacterial small subunit ribosomal RNA", at positions 728 to 1381 of the family's 1533-position model. The record is from RNAcentral.
UCUGNUCUGUCACUGACGCUGAGGCUCGAAAGCGUGGGUAGCGAACAGGAUUAGAUACCCUGGUAGUNCACGCCGUAAACGAUGAGUGCUAGGUGUUAGGCCCUUUCCGGGGCUUAGUGCCGGAGCUAACGCAAUAAGCACUCCGCCUGGGGAGUACGACCGCAAGGUUGAAACUCAAAGGAAUUGACGGGGGCCCGCACAAGCGGUGGAGCAUGUGGUUUAAUUCGAAGCAACGCGAAGAACCUUACCAGGUCUUGACAUCCCGAUGCUAUUCUUAGAGAUAGGAAGUUACUUCGGUACAUCGGAGACAGGUGGUGCAUGGUUGUCGUCAGCUCGUGUCGUGAGAUGUUGGGUUAANNNNNNCAACGAGCGCAACCCUUAUUGUUAGUUGCCAUCAUUAAGUUGGGCACUCUAGCGAGACUGCCGGUAAUAAACCGGAGGAAGGUGGGGAUGACGUCAAAUCAUCAUGCCCCUUAUGACCUGGGCUACACACGUGCUACAAUGGUCGGUACAACGAGUUGCGAGCCGGUGACGGCAAGCUAAUCUCUGAAAGCCGAUCUCAGUUCGGAUUGGAGGCUGCAACUCGCCUCCAUGAAGUCGGAAUCGCUAGUAAUCGCGGAUCAGCACGCCGCGGUGAAUACGUUCCCGGGCCU